Molecule: long non-coding RNA, 182 nt
Organism: Centrocercus urophasianus (Greater sage-grouse)
Lineage: Eukaryota; Metazoa; Chordata; Aves; Galliformes; Phasianidae
Exons: 3
Source: RefSeq, a predicted model, not a curated record
CCCUCCUUCUGGUGUUUUGUGGGUGAGCCCAGGAUAGGGAACCAGUACUUUUACUACUCUCGGGAGUUCAGCAAACCUUUACAGGAAUUCGGGUAAAUUGCUGAUCAUUUUAAUAACCCAGCACACCUACCCCUGUUCUACCAGGCGACGGAGCACUGGAACAGGCUGCCCAGGGAGGUGGU